GAUGAACGCUGGCGGCGUGCCUAAUACAUGCAAGUCGAGCGAACAGACGAGGAGCUUGCUCCUUUGACGUUAGCGGCGGACGGGUGAGUAACACGUAGGUAACCUACCUAUAAGACUGGGAUAACUUCGGGAAACCGGAGCUAAUACCGGAUAAUAUUUCGAACCGCAUGGUUCGAUAGUGAAAGAUGGAUUUGCUAUCACUUAUAGAUGGACCUGCGCCGUAUUAGCUAGUUGGUAAGGUAACGGCUUACCAAGGCAACGAUCCGUAGCCGACCUGAGAGGGUGAUCGGCCACACUGGAACUGAGACACGGUCCAGACUCCUACGGGAGGCAGCAUUAGGGAAUCUUCCGCAAUGGGCGAAAGCCUGACGGAGCAACGCCGCGUGAGUGAUGAAGGUCUUCGGAUCGUAAAACUCUGUUAUUAGGGAAGAACAAACGUGUAAGUAACUGUGCACGUCUUGACGGUACCUAAUCAGAAAGCCACGGCUAACUACGUG
RNAcentral lists this ribosomal RNA (497 nucleotides) under uncultured bacterium. RNAcentral describes it as "partial 16S ribosomal RNA". It matches the Rfam family "Bacterial small subunit ribosomal RNA", at positions 28 to 507 of the family's 1533-position model. The record is from RNAcentral.